Molecule: long non-coding RNA, 2489 nt
Organism: Fundulus heteroclitus (mummichog)
Lineage: Eukaryota; Metazoa; Chordata; Actinopteri; Cyprinodontiformes; Fundulidae
Exons: 3
Source: RefSeq, a predicted model, not a curated record
AAUAAAUGCUGUGAUGUCUGGAGCCCUUUGCAGAAGGCAGAAGGCAAGCUCCUACAAUGGGCUUCUGUGGGGGCUUGCCAACAAGCACCGGCUAUCUUGCACAGGGCUCUGCUGACUGAAGUGAUCCCCACGGCCCGAGCGGGAGGAGAGGAGGGAGAGGAUGCCUCGGAGGGAAGAGGGAUAGCUUUGGAGGAGCCUUGCUGAUGCACUCGUGUUCACACAAACUCAAACACAAUGUCCCCUCUCAGUCCUAGGCUGUGACCGGCCCGUGGCAUUGCCCAGAUGGAUGUUCAUGUGAGCGGACGCAUUCUGCACUCCUCACUUUCACUUCCCUGCACCGGUCGGAGCCGAAAGCUCCUUCCUGUCGAUGUACUUGGCUAUAUCUGCGUCUGACCUGUCUGCCAUAUGUAAUAUCAAAGCCUCUGUCAGCACGGAGCUGAAUGGGAACAAAAGAGAGGCCUCUAUUAAUGAUUAACUGUUCUAAAAGCCUCGGCUUUUGUAUUCCCAUGGUGCCCAGGCUAUCUGGCCACCAUGUGACAUGCUCACAGCAUUUUUCGAGCAGAUUGGGGGAAAGCUAGUGAGCAAACACAGGUGCUUUGGAGCAGCGGUGCCGACGCUGUCAGGGACAACCACAAACAAGAGCAGCUAUGCCUGGCUAAAUGAAUCCCCACCCCUCCCAGCGCCAUCACCACCUCCUCAACCCCCCACUCUGUCACCAGCUAACUUGUUUGCUAGCUCCCUAUAGCUUUCUCCUUCUGCAUGGUCGCCACAAUCCGCCCCCCCCCCCCCUUCCCUCCCCUUCCUUGCACAAAUGCAAUGUCUGCCGCAGCCAGGCUCCAGAACUUCUCACACUCUCCAAAGAAACAAACAAAUAAAAGUGAGGACGGCCGACCACUUCUUUGAGGUGAUGGCAUUUGCUGCGGUCAUGACUAGUGGGAGAGCAAACAAAUUAAUGGUGUCCAUGUUUUCACUUUCUAAACUAAACUAAAAUAAACCAAACGUCUUUUAGCUCAAGUGGGGCAAUACCACUGACCCCGGUGUCAAAUGCUGCGUAAAGGUUGCACACUCUUGCACUUGAAAUGUUGAGAGGAGGCCAUAAGAAAUUAACCAGGACUUGAGCACAGCUGUACAUAAGUGGAAUAAAAAAAAACGAAUAGGUUAUAUAGCUAAAAUCAAGGCGAGUCAUUGUUUUAAAAAAAGAGGAUUUUAGCAGCCAUAACAAAAGGCAUCUGAGGCUCUUAACCUUUUCAUCAGAGUGACUCGGGGUGCUGUGUCGUUCGACUUUGAUAAGACAAUCAGAUGAUAGGAUGGCGUUAUCUUAACACGGCUUUUCCGGCUGGGAGACAAAUGAACAGUGUGUGAUAAAGGGAACAAAAGCUUUGCUCUUAUUGGCCGGUUCCUCCGAGAAAAGGAAAAAUUAUCAGCGUGGAAAAUUCACAUUAGGUGCUGGUAUUUCAUUUUCAAUUUGGUACUCAAGCCAGGUCCCAGGGACAGCUUUAUUUUUUUUUUUAUCACUUAAUAUUUCUAUUAUCUGAUGCUGGAUUUAAGGUUAAAAAACUGCAUUGACCUGAACCUGUAAACCAGUAAUCAAAGGAUAAAGGGGAUGAAUGUACUUCAUAAAAAAAAAAAAUGUUUACAUCAGGAAGAGAGGGAAUGUAGAUGUAAACAUGAACGUAGCAAAAGCAGAAAAAAAAACAUCUGGUUAGAAGAGAUGGAAAAAUAAAAAGAGAAAGAGAAAAUGUCAAAGCUUUUUUCUGGUGUUUGAGGCAAACGAGUUCUCACAGGAAAAAUUGUGAAAUGUGAUUUCCUCUUGAACCGUCCACUGAUCGAUGAAACAUCAAUUCUCUUCUGGGUUCGCUGACUUUUGCAGCCUAUUUCUCAGUGUAAGAAAAAAAAAAUGAGUAUACACAAGGAUUCGCUCAAAGUUUUGUUUGCCCACUUCCCCGAGAAAUGAUUGGAAAAAUAUUAGUGUCCGUUGGAAUGAAAUGUUAGCCCUGUGUUGGAACUAAAAAUAAUUUAAAACUAAAAACACCCUUAUAUUCUGCGAGGAUAAUAUAUUUAGUUUUAAGAAAAUGUGUUCUGUGUUAUUUGAGAUACCAUUUUUCUCUAUUACCCCCCAUGUCCUCCAAACACUAGACAUCCAUGGCCUUUAUUAUGGCUUUUUAAGGUUGGUCAUUCUUUCUGUCAAAAAUGUGUUGAAUGUGUGACUUUUUUAGCUGAAAUGUUCCAUCCAAAUUUAUUCAGAACAAAAACUUUGAAUACUUAGGCACUGUUAGCCUAUUUAAUCAACCAAAGUAGCCUUUAUGAGGCUGUCUUUUUAACUUUUACUUUUCAACUCCUCAUUCAUGUCUUGAAUUUGAUUUGAUUCAUUUUCCAAGUUUUGAUAAGUAAGGGAAAAGAUAAAUAAAAUUUAGUACAGAAAAAAAAAUGUUUUCAGACUUUAUUCCUCCUUGCAUUACACAAUUGAAAUAAAGCAAUUUAAAAAAUAA